UGAAAUAAAAAUUCUAUUAUAAUUUUAAAACAUAAAAAGAUACAUGAAUAAAGAAAUUAAAAAUGAAACCCUUUAUUUCCUUUGCUUAGGUUAUACCCGUCUGAAAACCCAACAAAUUUUAAGAAGCACUUGGAUUAUAGAUAGUUGCCGAGAAUUUUUUUUGAAGCCAUCAUAUGAGCCAGUGGAUUUAAACAAGGGGUGGCUACAAACAAACAACUGGGUUAUGCAAAAUGAAAAUGCGAUAAUAGAGUAUACAGGGAAGGAUAGUUGCAGAGAACCCAAUCAUCCUUUUCCUCUUUGGUGGUUAGACAACAGAAUGACUACUCGGACAUCCUUAAUUAAAAAGGACUUUUUUUGUAAAAAAACUAUAGCUCAAUUAGAGGUUCAAACAAAUGAUGCUAUGUCAUGUGGUUUUAUUUUUCGAGUUUUGGGUGAGAGAAACUACUGGGGUUUAAUUAUUGACAAAAAAGUGUUAAAACUAAUUAAGGUUAAUAAAGGAGAAAUGAUAGUACUAAAGGAAUUCGAAGAACUAAAAAUAUCAAAAGACAAAUGGUAUGUUUUAUUUGUUCAAGAAAUUAUUAAGGAUGUCAAAAUCAAAGCAGGGGAAUAUGGUGAUCUCAGUGUUAAUUAUUUUAUAAAAAGCGAAGAUGAAGAGGAGCUAGAAAAAAAAAAACUGGGGUCUGUUGGUUUGUUUGCAAAUAAAGGAAACUGCAAAUUCAGGAAUAUAAUAUUGAGGGGUAAAAAAUGGAGCACAGAAUACGAAAAAUUAAAGUCGAAAAAUGAUGCUUUAUUGUAUGACCUUGAAGAAAUAGAAACGUUAUAUGAAAACUCGCAAGGUUGGUGUCCUAGGUCUUCACUUUGUUUAAAAAGUAAAUACGAUGUAAUAUAAUCUUAAAAACAAAAUAUUUAAUAAUUUAUUAUUUGUUAUAUCCAUAUAACAAUGUAUACAUAUGUACAGUAAUACAUACAUACAUAUAUACAUAUAUAUGCAUACGUGUAUGUGAAAGGGUAAGCACUUUGUUUAUCGAUUUUUUUUUUUUUUGUACUAAUGUUUGCCACCUUUUUUUUUUUAAUAUAUUUGUGAAUUUUUUUUUAAAAAAAAACGAAUCGUUAUUUAUUUUAUUUUUUUGUAUACGUGAGAAACAUAAUGUAUGUUUUUAUAUAUGUUUCUACAUAUAUAUAUAGAUUCAGAUAAAUUUUUUUUUUUGUUGUUCUUAACGAUUGAAUAAACAAUUUUUUUUUGUAAAAAAUGUAAACUCA
Molecule: long non-coding RNA, 1260 nt
Filed under: Piliocolobus tephrosceles (Ugandan red Colobus)
Lineage: Eukaryota; Metazoa; Chordata; Mammalia; Primates; Cercopithecidae
Description: lncRNA (ENSPTEG00000016222.1)
Source: RNAcentral